This 300-nucleotide ribosomal RNA is filed under the name uncultured Photobacterium sp. RNAcentral describes it as "bacterial SSU rRNA". It matches the Rfam family "Bacterial small subunit ribosomal RNA", at positions 496 to 795 of the family's 1533-position model. The record is from RNAcentral. Lineage: Bacteria; Pseudomonadati; Pseudomonadota; Gammaproteobacteria; Vibrionales; Vibrionaceae.
CUUAGCUGUGGGGCAGAUGCGGAGGUAAUACGAGGGGUGCAAGCGUAAUUCGGAAUGAUUUGGCGUAGAGGGUGGGCAGAAGGUUUAUGAGGUCACUUGUUAAAUUCGUCGGCCUAGCUGAAGGUAUGCAGGUGAUACGGGGGAGCUAGAAGUUGGAAGAGAGAAGGGGAAAUCACGGAGUAGCGGUAAAAUGCGUAGAACGCGAGAGGAACACCAAUGGCGAAGGCAGCUUCUUGGUCCAUUCCUGACGUUCAUACACGAAAGCGUGGGGAGCAAACAGGAUUAGAUACCCCGGUAGUC